RNAcentral lists this long non-coding RNA (2847 nucleotides) under Sus scrofa (pig). Its description in RNAcentral is "lncRNA (ENSSSCG00005041362.1)". The record is from RNAcentral. Lineage: Eukaryota; Metazoa; Chordata; Mammalia; Artiodactyla; Suidae.
CUGUAAAUAGCAUCUUUGUCUUCUGCUCACAUCCCACUGGCUACAACUGGGUCAGAUGGCUGUACCUAAUUACAGGUGAGGCUGGGAAAUAAAGAGUUGUGUUUCCUGGAAGAAGAGGAAGGAGAGUGAGAUAACAGCUUGCAGUGUUCCCUAUAAAUGCAGGCUCAGUGCUAGUCUGUAAGGAUAUUAAGAUGCAUGAGGUGCUUUGCCUGCCCUAGAGGAGGUCCUCAUCUAGUGGGUGAGACUACACUAUACUGACAGAUAAUUUUAGGGUCCCGUAGAAUAUGCUAUCACCAAGCAAUGGAGGUGAGCCUGUGAGAAGACCAUGUAUGUGUAGAGGGAGCAAGUAACUCUGCCUGUAACAAAGGGGGGGGGGCAUGAAAGGCCUUGAUUAUGUCAGUUUCAUAAAUGUUUAUUGAGCAACUACUAAGAGCGAUGCACCUAUUUCGUGCAAGUUGCUGGAGAUACAGAUAUAAGUGUAGCCCUCAGCGGAGAUGGAUAUCUAAGCAGACCAAUUCAAAUGGAUAAUUGCUCAUAUAUCUGGGAAAUGAGAGGACUAUACUAUGGGCAUGAACUGUGUAUAUGCUUGUUGGGUUAGAUGCUCUGGAUUGGAGUCAGGCAUACUUGGACUUGAAUUCCAUCUUUAACACUGUUAAAGUCACUGUGUGUGGGACUCUGGGCAAGUGUUCCAACUUCUCCGAGCCUUUGUUCUCAUUUUAAAGCAAAGAUUUUAGGGGAGCUCCCCUGGUGGUCUAGUGGUUGGAAUUCGGCACUUUCACAAAAACUUAAAAGUAAAACAAAAAUUUUAAAACAAACACCUAGUAUGGCAGUAUACAUUCUCAGGAGCCAGAAAGCCUGGCUCUCCUACAUACUAACAGUGAUCUUGGGAGAUUCUUCAAAUCAUUCUGGUUUUAGUAUCUUCAUCUUUAUAAUGGAGUUUUAAAUAGUACCACAUAUGGUUGGUAGGUAUGUAUAUAUGAAUUCAGAGAACAAAUGUUUGAUAUGGACGUUAAAUGAGAUAAUGCCAGUGCUUGGCAGACAUUAAGUAUUCAGUCAGUGAUAACAGUUAUGAUUAUAAGGGAUAAGCUGGAGGUAGGAUGACCACAGUGUCCCAAAAAGAAGUUGCUGAGAAACCAGAUGGAACAAAAUGACUAAGGCAAAGAUCUCUGACACCCAGGUUUAUUCUUUGCCCAUCCUAAGACAGAUGAAGCAGUGAAGGCUUGUGAUACUUGGAAGGACAGUGCCUCCAGUUUCAGGUAGAAGGCUAUUAAUUUCCAUGUUUGCUUUCUCUGCCUCUUCCAUUGGUGAGGGCUCUGAGAAUAUGCCAUAAAAUUUAGGUGAAGGCAGGUAUAAAUGAUUUGCUUUAAGAAUACAGGAGGAAAGUCUCUCGAAACACAGCAAAGAGUUUCUAGAACCUUCCAAAAUUCUUUCUCCUUUUAUAGCAUCCCGCAAGUCCAAAGUAAUGAAAUAAAGGCAUGGUAAUAGGUAAACACAAUUACAGCACCCGGGUAGCUCCUUGGCAGGCAGGGGGUGUUUGAGAGCAUUGGCUGGGGUCUCAUUUUCCAUAAUUGAGCCCAGCCCUGCUGUGAUCACUAUAGUAUUAUGACCUAUGGGGCAAAGACGGUACCAUACGUGAUAUUUCAUUUUUGGGUAGCUGGGGGUAGUAAUGAACCAGUUGCAGGCAAGUGAAUUAAUCUCCCCAGCUAUUCAAAAAUGAAACUUCAUGUACAGCAAUUUGUUCUUCAUUGCUUUCCCCCCAACUGUAGCCUUUUCAAAUUACUCUUCUUACAGAAAAAGGAGAGAAAGAGAAAGAGAACUCAAUGAAAAAAUAUUUUAAUCUUUUCUAAACAUUGAUAUCUUUUCUGAUUGUCGAUCGUUAACGGGAAACAUAUUUUGUAGAUACACGACUUAGAGUUGGCGUUGUGGUUCUGUUAGCCUCAUAUCAAUGAUUAUGAAUCUUAAAAAAUGGAAUAAAUAUGCAAAGACUUGGUAUAGCAUAGAUUCCAGAGCCAAUUUCAUACAGUUUAAAUUAUCAAUCGUGGGUUGAGGAUCCGGCGUUGCUGUGAGCUGUGGUGUAGGUUGCAGAUGCGGCUUGGAUCCCGCAUUGCUGUGGCUCUGGCGUAGGCUGGUGGCUACGGCUCCAAUUCGACCCCUAGCCUGGGAACCUCCAUAUGCAGUGAGAGCAGCCCAAGAAAUGGCAAAAAGACCAAAAAAAAAAAAAAAAAAUAGUAGCACUUAUCUCGUUGAGUGUUUCUGUAGAUUCGAUGAGAGAGUGCAUGUAAGCCACUUAUACAGGGCCUGACAUAUGUAAUAUUCAAUAAAUGUCAGGUCUUAAUAUUAUUAACAUUUACUUGAGUGUACUUACAUUAUUUAAAAACGUCUGUUUAAUAAAAACAAGUUGCACCUGUAAGUGCUCCUUUGACUUUCUGAACCUCUAUCAUCAAUUAAUUAAUUCCAUCCAAACAUCAAUUUUGUAAGUUGAGUGUAGAAUUAUUUUAUCCUCCUUGGUUGCUGAGAAGGGUAAGAUAAAGAGGAAUUAAGUGGCUUGCCUAAGACAGGGCUAAUGCAAGUAGUAGAAUCUAUAUUUUUGACUCAUUUACUUUCAUCACAGAAUUGGGGGUGGGUGAGGAAGGGCCAGAGCCCCCAGAACACCAAAGGUUUUUGUGUGUGUGUGUGUGUGUAAUUAUUAUUUUUUGCGAAAGGUUUUUUAUCUGCAGUGCAGGCUGUUUGCAGAUUCCAGCUAAGGGGUUAUUAAGAUUGUGGUAAGGGGGCAAGUAUGUUUGCCCAGGGAAGUGGCAGCAUUUACAUAAGGAUAGCCAACUUUUCUUUGCAAAAAAAAAAAAAAAA